RNAcentral lists this transfer RNA (85 nucleotides) under Chromatiales bacterium. RNAcentral's name for it is "tRNA-Leu". It matches the Rfam family "tRNA". From Rfam's summary of the family: Transfer RNA (tRNA) molecules are approximately 80 nucleotides in length. Their secondary structure includes four short double-helical elements and three loops (D, anti-codon, and T loops). Lineage: Bacteria; Pseudomonadati; Pseudomonadota; Gammaproteobacteria; Chromatiales. The record is from RNAcentral.
GCCGGAGUGGCGGAACUGGUAGACGCGCGUGACUUAGGAUCACGUGCCCUCGGGCGUGGGAGUUCGAGUCUCCCCUCCGGCACCA